GACGAACGCUGGCGGCGUGCUUAACACAUGCAAGUCGAACGGAAAGGCCCUGCUUUUGUGGGGUGCUCGAGUGGCGAACGGGUGAGUAACACGUGAGUAACCUGCCCUUGACUUUGGGAUAACUUCAGGAAACUGGGGCUAAUACCGGAUAGGAGCUCCUGCUGCAUGGUGGGGGUUGGAAAGUUUCGGCGGUUGGGGAUGGACUCGCGGCUUAUCAGCUUGUUGGUGGGGUAGUGGCUUACCAAGGCUUUGACGGGUAGCCGGCCUGAGAGGGUGACCGGCCACAUUGGGACUGAGAUACGACCCAGACUCCUACUGGAGGCAGCAGUGCAGAAUAUUUCACAAUGGGCGGAAGCCUGAUGCAGCAACGCCGCGUGCGGGAUGACGGCCUUCGGGUUGUAAACCGCUUUCGCCUGUGACGAAGCGUGAGUGACGGUAAUGGGUAAAGAAGCACCGGCUAACUACGUG
RNAcentral lists this ribosomal RNA (468 nucleotides) under uncultured bacterium. RNAcentral describes it as "partial 16S ribosomal RNA". It matches the Rfam family "Bacterial small subunit ribosomal RNA", at positions 28 to 507 of the family's 1533-position model. The record is from RNAcentral.